UUACCGAGUGCGGGUCCUUUGGGCCCAACCUCCCAUCCGUGUCUAUUAUACCCUGUUGCUUCGGCGGGCCCGCCGCUUGUCGGCCGCCGGGGGGGCGCCUUUGCCCCCCGGGCCCGUGCCCGCCGGAGACCCCAACACGAACACUGUCUGAAAGCGUGCAGUCUGAGUUGAUUGAAUGCAAUCAGUUAAAACUUUCAACAAUGGAUCUCUUGGUUCCGGCAUCGAUGAAGAACGCAGCGAAAUGCGAUAACUAAUGUGAAUUGCAGAAUUCAGUGAAUCAUCGAGUCUUUGAACGCACAUUGCGCCCCCUGGUAUUCCGGGGGGCAUGCCUGUCCGAGCGUCAUUGCUGCCCUCAAGCCCGGCUUGUGUGUUGGGUCGCCGUCCCCCUCUCCGGGGGGACGGGCCCGAAAGGCAGCGGCGGCACCGCGUCCGAUCCUCGAGCGUAUGGGGCUUUGUCACAUGCUCUGUAGGAUUGGCCGGCGCCUGCCGACGUUUUCCAACCAUUUUUUCCAGGUUGACCUCGGAUCAGGUAGGGAUACCCGCUGAACUUAAGCAUAUCAAUAAGCGGAGGAAAAGAAACCAACCGGGAUUGCCUCAGUAACGGCGAGUGAAGCGGCAAGAGCUCAAAUUUGAAAGCUGGCUCCUUCGGAGUCCGCAUUGUAAUUUGCAGAGGAUGCUUUGGGUGCGGCCCCGUCUAAGUGCCCUGG
RNAcentral lists this ribosomal RNA (707 nucleotides) under fungal sp. RNAcentral's name for it is "eukaryotic LSU rRNA". The stretch from base 190 to 343 matches the Rfam family "5.8S ribosomal RNA". The record is from RNAcentral. Lineage: Eukaryota; Fungi.